Molecule: ribosomal RNA, 119 nt
Filed under: Shinella sp. JR1-6
Lineage: Bacteria; Pseudomonadati; Pseudomonadota; Alphaproteobacteria; Hyphomicrobiales; Rhizobiaceae
Description: partial 23S ribosomal RNA
Rfam family: Bacterial large subunit ribosomal RNA
Source: RNAcentral
UACCAAGGCGCUUGAGAGAACUCUGCUGAAGGAACUCGGCAAAUUGCACGCGUAACUUCGGAAGAAGCGUGACCCCAUGGCACGCAAGUGUUGUGGGGUGGCACAGACCAGGGGGUAGC